GGCCCUACGGGGCGCAGCAGCUACGAAAACUGCCCAAUGUGGGAAACACGAGGCGGGCAUUCCGAGUGCCAACGCAUUGUGUUGGCUGUUCUUUUGCCUAAAAAGCGAGAGAAGUAAGGGCCGGGUAAGACGGGUGCCAGCCGGCGCGGUAAUACCCGCGGCCCGAGUGGUGCUCUUUGUUAUUGAGCUUAAAGCGUCCGUAGCCGGCCUUGUAAAUCCUUGGGUAAAAUCAAACAGCUCAACUGUUCGAAUUCCGAGGAGACUGCAAGGCUCGGGACCGGGAGAGGCUAGAGGUACUCUCGGGGUAGGGGUAAAAUCCUGUAAUCCUGAGAGGACCACCAGUGGCGAAGGCGUCUAGCUAGAACGGAUCCGACGGUGAGGGACGAAGCCCUGGGGCGCAAACGGGAUUAGAUACCCCGGUAGUCCAGGGUGUAAACGCUGCCGUUUUCGUCUAUCUCGUGGUCCUACGAGGGCGUCCGGUGCCGGAGAGA
This 491-nucleotide ribosomal RNA is filed under the name uncultured archaeon. RNAcentral's name for it is "bacterial SSU rRNA". It matches the Rfam family "Archaeal small subunit ribosomal RNA", at positions 319 to 809 of the family's 1478-position model. The record is from RNAcentral.